Schistocerca piceifrons (Central American locust) is the source of this 72-nucleotide non-coding RNA. Lineage: Eukaryota; Metazoa; Arthropoda; Insecta; Orthoptera; Acrididae. The record is from the annotation of a RefSeq genome assembly.
ACCAGGGUGGUGCAGUGGUUAGCGCAUCUGCCUAGUGAGCAGAAGAUACAGGUUCAAAUCCUGGCAUUGGUA